AGCCUAAAGAGUAUAUAAUUUUAGGUAAAACCUGCCCAAUGCCUUUAGGUGAAUGGCCGCAGUACCCUGACUGUGCUAAGGUAGCAUAAUCAGUUGGCUUUUAAAUGGAGCCGUGUAUGAAUGGAUUAACGGGGUUAAGCUGUCUCUACUAGAUUUAUUUGAACUUAUUAAGAAGGUGAAAAUACCUUCAUCCAGAUAAAGGACGAUAAGACCCUUGGAGUUUUUACUAGUAAAGUUCAAUUGCUUUGUGGUUUUUGCUGGGGCGGCACAGAGGAAAUUCUUAACCCUCUGAGGAUUAUAAGCCGAAAAUUUUAAGUGCAGUUAAACUACCCGAGGGAUAACAGCAUUAUUCUCUAUAGAGUUUGUGACCUCGAUGUUGGACUAGGAAUUAAUUAGGCUAGUCGCUUAAAUAUAUUGUUCUGUUCGAACUAUUUUUCCU
The sequence is a ribosomal RNA, 439 nucleotides long. It matches the Rfam family "Bacterial large subunit ribosomal RNA", at positions 1828 to 2596 of the family's 2925-position model.